GGACGGGUGAGUAACGCGUAGGAAUCUACCCAGUAGUUGGGGAUAGCCCGGAGAAAUCCGGAUUAAUACCGAAUAAUCUCUACGGAGGAAAGUGGGCUUCGGCUCACGCUACAGGAUGAGCCUGCGUUGGAUUAGCUAGUUGGUGUGGUAAGAGCGCACCAAGGCGACGAUCCAUAGCUGGUCUGAGAGGAUGAUCAGCCACACUGGGACUGAGACACGGCCCAGACUCC
This 230-nucleotide ribosomal RNA is filed under the name uncultured bacterium. RNAcentral's name for it is "partial 16S ribosomal RNA". It matches the Rfam family "Bacterial small subunit ribosomal RNA", at positions 100 to 339 of the family's 1533-position model. The record is from RNAcentral.